GGUUUAAACUAUGACACCUGAAUAAAGUACCUCUCCAUCCAUUCUUUCAUCACGUCUUUGAAAAUCUGCUUUAACAUGGAAUAAAGACUGUGUCCUGUUCCUGUGAGAACACAGAGUUGCCUCCUUCCUCCACAGCAGGAGGACAUCACUCCAUUCUGGAGGAUACAGUGCCACCAGCACUUAGUGCUACAGUCAUUAUCAUCGUCACCAUUAUCAUAUCAGGGAGCGCUUACUUGUGUUUCCUGAAAUACAUCUGCUCUGGAUGCUGCAAAGCUACCCAAGUAGUACCAGCCAGAAGACUUGAUCCUAGCAGGUCUGAAGAACAAGUCUAAUCUCACCUCAUCGGGUAAUUUACUGAGUUAUGGUAAGAAAUAUCUGUAACUAAGAAGAACUAUCAGAAAGCAGAGGAGACAUGUUAUUCAGUAAUAACAGCUAACAGAUCCCUACUAACAUCAAGGAUUUACCAUACUGUACGCUGUGUAACUUUGACUCUUCCUAAGUAUAGGGAAUCUUCUUCAGAAGUUAUCUGAUUAAAUGCUACUAUAGAUCACACAUUCCAGUUCUAUUUGUCUCUCUCUGACACUGUAUUUCAUUCUCUCUGAUAACAUCUGGUUUACUGUGUUUUUCUUGACACAUCUGUGCUUUCACAUUUGCUAAUGGAUUUGGGGUUCCAGAGACCUGCCGUUGCUACCAAGUGUUCUCUCUUGGAGAGAAAGAAAAAAAGCGCAGGACUAGAUACCUUGGGAACUGUCUGGAUUUGUCGUCUUCUGAAACUGUAAAGGCAAACUGGACAAACUUUUGGAGCUCUAAAGGCAAGCCUUUGCUCUCCAUAUACAGAUAUCUGCAUGAUACACUACAACUUCCAUUUAUAUCAAGGUCAAAAGAGGUGAUCUAGUGGUCUUCUGCACUUCUGAACUUAAACUCCAUGCCAACAAGUGCUCCACAUUUCUGUCACUCUCAGAUCUUUAAAGUCCAUGUGUGUCACUUUUUCUUUGCUGUUGAAACAUUUCAUAGUUGUGAUGUAACCAAGCUGCUAUUGGGCAGCUAUCAGAACCACAAUUAUAUUGAACUUUUAAUAAAAUUCUGAGCUGAUACCAUUCUGACCAUGUCCCUGCUAUUCUAGUUAUAUGUCCUAGCAAGGGAGUGAAGCAUGUUUGAACCGUAUUAGCUGUGGGGGAAAAAAAAAACAAAACAAAACAAAACAAAACAUGUCUGGAUGAAAUAAAAAAUGAACCCGAAUCUUUCUGACAGCAGAUAUUUUUACACUUUCCUGGAAUCAGCUCAGAAAACAAAGUUCAGAAGAAAAUAUCAAUGGAAUGGCUCCUCUUAGGCUGCUUUGGCUUAAUCUGAACAGGCAAGAAUUGAAAAGCUUUUUGGAAGAUCUGAUUGUGGGCUCCCGAAGCAAAAGAAGUACAGAUAAAUAAAGGGAAAUAUCCAAAGAUGACCUGUUUGAGAGCUCCCUGCAUCAAGUCUUUGAAAUGUGUGUUAUCACUAAAAUGUUCACCGAGCCAAGUACAGCUAUAUUUGCCCUCCUACAAAGGCUCCAGGAGACUGGUUUUAUGUCUGCUUCUCCUUUCCCCCUUUAAAACAAAACCUAAACAGUUCUGGUCUUUGUUUUUACA
Long non-coding RNA from Athene cunicularia (burrowing owl), 1622 nucleotides. RefSeq lists it as uncharacterized. The record is from RefSeq and is a predicted model, not a curated record. The transcript is spliced from 2 exons. Lineage: Eukaryota; Metazoa; Chordata; Aves; Strigiformes; Strigidae.